GACGAACGCUGGCGGCGUGCCUAAUACAUGCAAGUCGAACGAAGCUGUUUUAACUGGUGCUUGCACCGACUUAAACAACUGAGUGGCGAACGGGUGAGUAACACGUGGGUAACCUGCCCCAAAGCGGGGGAUAACAUUUGGAAACAGAUGCUAAUACCGCAUAACUACAGAAACCACAUGGUUUCUGUGUCAAAGAUGGUUUCGGCUAUCACUUUGGGAUGGACCCGCGGCGUAUUAGCUAGUUGGUAAGGUAAUGGCUUACCAAGGCAAUGAUACGUAGCCGAACUGAGAGGUUGAUCGGCCACAUUGGGAAUGAGACACGGCCCAAACUCCUACGGGAGGCAUCAGUAGGGAAUCGUCAACAAUGGACGAAAGUCUGAUGGAGCAACGCCGCGCGAGUGAAGAAGGUUUUCGGAUCGUAAAACUCUGUUGUCAGAGAAGAACGUGUGCGAGAGUAACUGCUCGUGCAGUGACGGUAUCUGGCCAGAAAGCCACGGCUAAUUACGUGCCAGCCGCCGCCGUAA
Molecule: ribosomal RNA, 524 nt
Filed under: uncultured bacterium
Lineage: Bacteria
Description: partial 16S ribosomal RNA
Rfam family: Bacterial small subunit ribosomal RNA
Source: RNAcentral